This 231-nucleotide ribosomal RNA is filed under the name uncultured bacterium. RNAcentral's name for it is "partial 16S ribosomal RNA". It matches the Rfam family "Bacterial small subunit ribosomal RNA", at positions 100 to 334 of the family's 1533-position model. The record is from RNAcentral.
CGGGACGGGUGAGUAAUGUCUGGGAAACUGCCUGAUGGAGGGGGAUAACUACUGGAAACGGUAGCUAUACCGCAUAACGUCGCAAGACCAAGAGGGGGACCUUCGGGCCUCUUGCCAUCGGAUGUGCCCAGAUGGGAUUAGCUAGUAGGUGGGGUAACGGCUCACCUAGGCGACGAUCCCUAGCUGGUCUGAGAGGAUGACCAGCCACACUGGAACUGAGACACGGUCCAG